AUCAACAUCUAAACUCACUGAGUCAAACGCUUACUCCUAUUCAAUAAUUUUUCCCCAAGUUACAGGAGGAGUAAUUUUCUUCAGAGUCUAACUUACAUUAUUUUCCCACAGGGUACCAUAUUGUUACAUAUGAAUUUUUAUUUAUUAUUAGUUUAUGUAAUUAUUUAUUUUAUUCUUAGAACUCUAUGUAACACUAAUGCAUAAAUAUGUUGUUUUAAUUAAUGGUAUUAACUAGAUUAUGUAUGUUGAGUAUCAAUAUUGAGGUGGGCUUCCCUAGUUGUGUAUAUAUGAUCACAUUUAUAAUAUUUUAUUUUAUUUUGUAUGAUUGGUUCUGAGUUUGGGUCUAGUAAUGGAUUAGUGAACAAUAA
This 368-nucleotide unclassified non-coding RNA is filed under the name Hevea brasiliensis (rubber tree). Lineage: Eukaryota; Viridiplantae; Streptophyta; Magnoliopsida; Malpighiales; Euphorbiaceae. The record is from RNAcentral.